Non-coding RNA from Chelonoidis abingdonii (Abingdon island giant tortoise), 4599 nucleotides. The record is from RefSeq and is a predicted model, not a curated record. Lineage: Eukaryota; Metazoa; Chordata; Testudines; Testudinidae.
UUGAAGUAGCUUCUAAAACUAGCUGCGACCGGGAUUUCCAGCGCAUUGUACGUAGGGGCCCCACCCAUUCUUUCCCUGAAUGUUUGUGUUUUGCUGACUGCACGGCGAGUUCGGUUGAUCACAUGAGGUUGAUGUGCCUGGAUGGCUCCUCGGGCCUGGGGGAGGGAAGGCAGCACGCAGGAGCUGCCGUCUGCUUUCUCUGCCGCCUCCUUUUUCUGUGAGCCCAGGCGGGUGCUAGGAGGAGCUCGAACAGAGCAGGGAGACUGCCGACCUUUUGGCAGCAAAUGGCUUUUCCACAGGAGACAACAAAUGAGCCGUCAGACUGCUACAGCACUACCUACAGGUACUUCAAAGUGUACACCAUCACAGAGGGUGCCUGCUCUGACUGGCACUACAGCGUCCAACAAUGACUUGGCAAGUCUUUUUGAGUGUCCUGUGUGUUUUGACUAUGUGCUGCCACCUAUUCUUCAGUGUCAGAGUGGCCAUCUUGUUUGUAGCAACUGUCGCCCCAAGCUUACAUGCUGUCCAACUUGCCGAGGCCCACUGGGUUCCAUUCGUAACUUGGCUAUGGAAAAAGUUGCGAAUUCUGUACUGUUCCCAUGUAAAUACGCCUCUUCUGGAUGUGAGAUAACUUUGCCACACACAGAAAAAGCAGACCAUGAAGAGCUGUGUGAGUUUAGGCCUUAUUCAUGUCCAUGUCCUGGUGCUUCAUGUAAAUGGCAAGGUUCGUUGGAUGCUGUAAUGCCACAUUUGAUGCAUCAGCAUAAGUCAAUAACAACACUACAGGGAGAAGAUAUAGUUUUUCUUGCUACAGACAUUAAUCUUCCUGGUGCUGUUGACUGGGUAAUGAUGCAGUCUUGUUUUGGCUUUCAUUUCAUGUUAGUCUUGGAGAAACAGGAAAAAUAUGAUGGUCACCAGCAGUUCUUUGCUAUUGUACAGCUGAUAGGAACACGCAAGCAAGCAGAAAAUUUUGCUUAUCGACUUGAGCUUAAUGGUCAUAGGCGGCGAUUGACUUGGGAAGCAACUCCUCGAUCUAUUCAUGAGGGAAUUGCAACAGCCAUUAUGAAUAGUGACUGUCUAGUCUUUGACACCAGCAUUGCACAGCUCUUUGCAGAAAAUGGCAAUUUAGGCAUCAAUGUAACCAUUUCAAUGUGUUGAAAUGGCAAGCAAACAUUUUCAGGCCAGUGUUUAAAACAGUUGCAUUUAAUUUCGCAGGAACUAGGGUAACCAUCUUUGACUGCCAGACACAAACUAUUUGGUAGAGGGAGGCUAGACGUAUAUGAAGGUAAAUAAAAGGAAAGGCUGUUAAAUUACAGGAAGCAGUUGCAUGUAGUAACACUAAUAUAUUUAAAAAUAAGUCAACAGUAAACCACUGAAAAUAUAUAUACACCCAAAAUGGGCAUCUUUUGUAUUAAGAAUUGAUUCUACAGGAAAUGUUGUAAAAUAGUUCUAAAAACUUGUUUGUAGAUUGAUUGUACUGUUGAAAAUGAUACUGUUGUGUUUUUUGUUUUUCUUCCUUUGACUGACAAGCCAUGUUGAGCAGUCUGGUCUCUUGCCGCUGCUUUUUCCCCUUAAGUCACUACAUAGUAUUGCUGCUGUUUGUGUAUAUUUUUUGUGUAUUUGCUAAUUUUUAUUAACUUCUAGUUUUUCAUUAAAUAAAUAUGACUUUCUUUUCUGUAAUUCAGGUUUUUCUCCUUUUUGUACCUUUUAAAAAUUAAUUGCAGGUGUCAUCUUUUGAUAUGCAUAAUUCCUUAUAGUAAAACUUAUACUUCUGUACAUUUGGUAAAUUAGUCUCUUCCCAAUAGUCCAUUCAUUGGUGAUACUGUUCUUAAUUCAGCUAUUUUAUGAAUGUAUUCAACUCUAAAGGAGCAAUUACAUUGGAAGAAUUAUCAGAAAAACAGCUCCUUUUAGAAACAGGCCUAGAUGAUGAUGUACUUUGUUAUACCUUCAAACAAAAGUGAGGAGUUACUGGGUAACAUCCUAAUUAAAAAAACUGAAAAUUCAGGCACACUUUUUAAAUUUAGAAACUUCAGACACAAACUCAUGCUUGUAUUUUGGUUUUGCAGUACAAGAAGGCAUUGUCUUAUGUAGUAUUUGUAACUAUAAAAACAGACCAUUUAAAAAAAAAAAAAAGGCAGUCUCAGAAUAGGAUGUUUUUGGUCUUUUUUAAUUUUGUCAUUAAAAGAAUACCUGGCAAAUGAAACUCUUGUUUUUUGCUUUAGCACAAUAUUUGACUAAUUUAAUAUUUUAACUCAACUUUGCUUGUUCUGGUAUCCUUUGUCUGUUACCAGAGAGAAUCAAUUGUAUUUUCCUUAGUCAUACUAAUCUUGUAUGUCAUCCUACCAUGUUAGUGAUACGAUGAACAGCAUACAUCCAAAGAGUCAUGCAAUUCUCUUGCAUUUAAAGGCGUAAGUGGUAUAUUGGGGCCUUUUGCAGGUUGCUUGCAAGUUUGAGAAAUUCACCUUGAAUGUAUGUCCGUAUACAGCAUUGAGAUGGUUAAUGUAAAGAAGAACUAUUAAAUUUCAAACUGCUUUAAAAGUAUCUUCGCCAAACUUGCUGUUGGGAGAAAUAGGAUGAACAUUAGCUACUUUUUGUAUAACAUUAAAAUAUAAUUUAUUUACUAUAUAUUGUCUAACUUUCUUGUCAGAAACUGAUCUGUUAAGACAACUCAUUUGAAUUGUUUUUGGUGCAGUGAUUACACAUUUUAGCCUGACGGGAGCAUUCCAGUGCACUUCUGAGGGCUCCCUCACACCCAGGAAAUAACUGGAAUGAUGGACCUUCCUGUUCUGGAAGUUUACAGGCAAGGAGAAACUGUCAUAUUUGUCUUGAUGCAAUACACAUUCUUUAGCCUUGGUUUUUAAGGCUGUAUUCCAAAGCUUGUAUUGGGGGCCCUUGAUAUGAUCAGGGAAGAUGAAGCCUUCUGAAGAAAUGGAUCUUAUACCUUCUUUUAAUAUAAUUAAUGGAUCAGUUCUAAGAAUGCCACUGAACAGUUGUAGGAUUAGUCCUAUUAUGACCCACAGAAGGUUUAACAGAUCUCCUUAUACACUGCAUAUACAGAAACCAGUUGAAGCAAAAUAUUUUAUGGUGUAUGCUUCAUUGUGAUUUCCCAUUAUGGUACAGUUACCACCACCCCUUCACAAAUUUUUCUACAGCAGACCCCUAUUUGUCUUGAUGCCUACAUCAUAUUACAGUUUUAUGAGCAGUGGUGGUAUUUCGAAACUAGUCUUUCAUUAGUAGAACUACCUUGCAAAAAGUGGUCAAACCUUUAUUAUUCUAAUACCAAACUGAAAAAUUUAAGUUACAAAAAUCAGCAUUACUAAAGAUUUUAAUCUUUCUUCAUACGCUAACAUAACAUUCAGAGACUCCUAUUCACAGAAUAUAAUCAUCUUCCCCAUAAUUUAAAACGUGUAGACUAAAGUUGGUAGCUUUAAUUACAGCCAUCAUAUGAGAGGGUGGAAAAAUACAUGAGGCUAAUAUUCUUUACAAAGGGUAGAGUGGCAAAGAAAACUAGAAUUUGACAAUUAAGGCUAUGCUUUUUCUAUACUCUUGUUCUGAAAUGUUUAUAUUACAACUACUAUUUGAAUUUUGGAGCUUUAAAACACCAAAUCAAAAUGUUCCCUUUUAUAUUUGACCAUCCAGUUUUGUCUUUCUUUGUAUAAGCCUGACUUUUGCCUCUCCCUUCUACAUUCCCUCCCUGUGCAAAAAAACCUACCUUUUUAAAAAAACAUCUGAUUUGUCAAAUUUCUCAUGACUGCUGCUCUGCCAGAAGAGCAUGGUUUUAGAAAUUCCAGGAGAGAAUGAAGUCAAAAACUAAACUGUUGGGAGAAAAACAUUAAGAAUCAUCUUUGCGUAUUUUAAGAAUAAUUAAGAGGCCAUAAUUUCCAGUGGGGACUCACCCUACUCUCCACUAGCAUGUACACAAUUUUGAAGGUGUGAAUAGGUAUUAGUACAGGGGUGGGCAGACUUUUUGGCCUUGAGGAUCACAUUAGGUGGUGGAAAUUGUAUGGCAGCCAUGAAUGCUCAUGAAAUUGGGGGUAGGGUGAGGCCAGAAAUGAAGUUCAGGGUGCAGGAAGGGGAUCAGGGCUGGGGCAGAUGUGUGAGGGCUCUGGCAGGGGCUACAGGGUUUAGGAGGGUGCUCUGCUGCACUGGGUGGCUUUAAGAACUUAAUCCGUAUUUUAUUCUUAAAGGUAACUCAAACAUUUAUUAUACCUUAUGACAUUCCCAUGAGAGAGAAUAAAUCAUAACCUUUUCAGAUGGGGAAAAUAGGUUCAGAUGUUGAAUCUGCUCAACUGUCCCGCCAUGCAGUGGCAAAGCCAGGCUUAGAACCUUAUGCAUAAUGUGCUAGAUGACACUUCUCAUGCAGAUACCAUUUAACCAUUAAAAGGGGGAGAAGUCAUGCUUCACAGAAGUGAUUAUACGUCUUUUCCAUUAUGCUAUAUACUCUCCCACAAGUCUUCACUUUUCCUGACCUGAUUUGGUCACCUGUCUGUUGUGAAGGAGUAGUUUUGGUGGCAUUCACUGAGUGACUAUUUGUGCAUUUGACUAACUCUGGUUUGCGAAAUCUUGUACUUUAUUCCACAUCUAUGAGCACCUCCCCCC